GGAAAUAACUCCUUUGGUUACCCUGU
RNAcentral lists this non-coding RNA (26 nucleotides) under Rattus norvegicus (Norway rat). Lineage: Eukaryota; Metazoa; Chordata; Mammalia; Rodentia; Muridae. The record is from RNAcentral.